This 172-nucleotide small nucleolar RNA is filed under the name Octodon degus (degu). RNAcentral describes it as "Small nucleolar RNA SNORA73 family (ENSODEG00000022753.1)". It matches the Rfam family "Small nucleolar RNA SNORA73 family". From Rfam's summary of the family: U17 (SNORA73A and SNORA73B) also known as E1 belongs to the H/ACA class of small nucleolar RNAs (snoRNAs). Vertebrate U17 is intron-encoded and ranges in length from 200-230 nucleotides, longer than most snoRNAs. It is one of the most abundant snoRNAs in human cells and is essential for the cleavage of pre-rRNA within the 5' external transcribed spacer (ETS). Lineage: Eukaryota; Metazoa; Chordata; Mammalia; Rodentia; Octodontidae. The record is from Rfam by way of RNAcentral.
CCAACGUGGACACCUGGGAGGCCGCUCUCCCCGGGCUCUGCCCCGUGAUGUACAAUCCCUCUCCACAAUGUUGGAGAAGAAGCUGGGCCUCGGGUCUGCUCCUGCGCAUUCCUACAACUUCUCAGAGUCCUUUGGGCAGUGACUGAGGAGAUAAACCAUGCAGGAAACAAUG